Long non-coding RNA from Aedes albopictus (Asian tiger mosquito), 4860 nucleotides. RefSeq lists it as uncharacterized. The transcript has 3 exons. Lineage: Eukaryota; Metazoa; Arthropoda; Insecta; Diptera; Culicidae. The record is from RefSeq and is a predicted model, not a curated record.
AAUGGACUCUGCACCGUUCCUACUGAAGGUUUUUUUUGUCACCUGCGUUCGCGACAUCCACCUUCAGCCUAGCCAUAGCUUCGAGUAGAACCUAGACUCUUGCGCUAGUCGAGCGGAUACCCCACUCAAUAGUUCAGGCGUUGAAGUCUCCAUCGAUGACCACGCGACUCAAUCUGACUAGUGCGCUAGAUAGCAAAUCCAGCAUUGAUGAGAAGUGGUCUAUCGAGCAUAACACCUGCAGUAAUACACCCCGUUCAUCUUCGCUAUUGCGAAGCCCUCGAGUGACGUGGAAAUUAUUUCCCGGACCGGAAAACGACCGGUUGUACAGAUUGCCGCUAGCUUGGUCUUAUCUGCUACCUAGUUCCCGUUAUCGGGAGGGAUGCGGUAUGGGUCCGAUAGUAGGACAAUGUAUGUACUUGACUCCGAGAGUGACUGCCACAGCAACUGUUGUGCGGCUUCAGAGUAGUUUAGGUUUAGCUGUGUAAUCUGCGUUAUCGUUCAAUUGGUUCGACCUCCUCCCGUGCCCGGAAUCCGGGAUAAUUUGGUAUCAGGCUGGGUAGACCUUCGCUGGAUGUAUAGGUCGGGCUCCUGGGUGAGAUGAGCGGAGGAAUGUUCCCUUGACUGAUUGAUAGCGAGGAUUUUUGCUGGCAAAUCGGACGGGAAAUCGGAGCAGACCUCUUGGGAAACGGCACUGGACGUGUGUGUGUGUGUAUCGAACUUUCGGCUUGAAACCAGCGUAUACCGGUUUGUAGCUUCCCAAGCAAUUGAAAAAAAGGCUAACUAUUUUGUUGAAUAAGAACAACAGGACAUCUUGUUAUGAUCUGAUUCAGAUUAUUUUAUUUCGAUGCACGCAGCCUUUCUGGAGAACGGUACGCAGAUCGGCGUGGGGUUUUCACGCCGCCGCUGAUGCUUCUUGGAACAGCAUCAUACAUCAUAACCAAAAACUGGACACACCAGUGAUCCACCAUGCAUACAAUAUACUAUAUUCUUGAGAACUUGGGGAGCCACAAGCCGAUAUGCGUCGAUUUCACACUUUUACAUCGAAAAAAAAAACUCCCACUUGAGAGGUGGAACGAGACAGCCUGUUCCUGCUGAAUCACGAAUGAGGCAUUCGUGGACCAAGAGUAAAGUUGUUACGGGAGGGUCUCUGCUAAAAGGCAUAGUCGGGCUUUCGGGAACGCGUUCACGGGAAGUAUGGUGCUUUGGAUAUGAUGGUCGAUCAUCCUAAAGAAGUGCGCCAGGCGGCAGUACGACAAAUGAAUUUCAAUGAAACUCAUUUGGAGCUCCCGCGUUGUAGCUGCUACUGUAGCAGUUUAUUGGAUCGCCUACUAUACUGGUUCAGAAAAAAUUCUCCCGGAUAUGAAGAGCCAGCGAUACAAUCAUCAAAUUCAAGCAAACUACUGUUACCAUUCCCAGCACUGGCCCGGAUAUUUAGGCCCGCCCGUCGUGUGACCCUUGUUCGCCGGGCAAAUCAGUCAUUUGCCGAGUUACACUCUCUGGCGAUGUGGCCUUCCUCUACGCACUUCCUGCAGCUCCUGCCGGAGCCGGGAAUACGAUGAUUCGUAGGGUAGCGAGCCACAUAGGCAGUGGUCGGUAUGUAUUUAGCUUUGCGCACUUUUCGCUAUAACGCAGUCAAUUCCAAACCAAUUGACUUGAACGUUUGUACACGGCUAGAUACUAUGCGUAUCUCACCGCGUUCCGAAAAUUGUGUCAAUUGGUUCAAAGCUGCCCAUAAUAGGAGCCCUGCCGAGAUGGUUCCACUUCCAUAUGCAGAAAUCCACGCACACAUUUGCUUGCAUGCUCCUUAGGCGAAGAAAACUGUAAACAAACAUUUUAUGAGCGGGAAAAAACGAUUGAUAUAAUUGAUUUAACAGCUUAUGCUGUAGUCUGCAGCAGUGAAAUCCAACUUUAAAGAGCCACAGAGCUUUUGUGGGGUGUGAAUUGAAGGUUGAUUCAACAAGUGAAUCAGGUGAAGUAAAAAUUGAACCGGGGUGAAGAACAAUUCAGCUGGCGACUGCUUUGGUGUGGUUGCCUUCGUAGUACGCAAAACGAGACAACUUUUAAGGUCGUAAGUGGAUUGGAAUUGAAACAUGAAAUUUUACGUAAUUAUUCAAUUUCUUUUGCUAUAGGAGGUGGUUAUCUCGAUAGUCUACAUUUUUUUUGCUUCCAUCUAAUUAGGCAAUGACAAUGGUAAAUCAGAAUAUCUAUAAUGAUGAGCUAUUUUUCGUCUGAUGAGACGACAAUUAGCGCAGAUGACGAAGAAAAUUUGUACCUCAUGUCGUGGAUUUUCCGAAACUUAUAUAUUUCCGGCGUAAACAAACGUGUACCGACGGAACUACUUUUAUCACAUUAUAUCAGCGUCGUCAUUGCUUCAUUUGUUUGAAUCGCAGCUUUCCUAUCUAAAUAAUUGUAAUAACUAAUCUCUUUCUUCUCAUCCUAUUUAUUUUAUUCGUUCCUCUAGCUGCCAAUGUACCAUAUCCUAGACCGAACGUGCUGAUGCCGAGGGAUCCCCACUCGGAGGUCCUGCUGCGCAUGUCCUACGAUCCCCUACAGCAGGCCGCUGAGUUCCAACGGCAAAACGCGUUGGACCGUGCCCACUCGCUGCAUGAGCAGUAUCUUAGACAACACGAGCGGGAAAUGAAAGUAAGAGCACUGGAAGAAGCGGCACGUGGCGGUAAACCAAUGUAGGCGACUCUGUAGACUAACUUCUAGGACGCGAUGAGGAUAUUGAUGAGAAAGAAAAGAAGAAGAAGAAGAGGGUGAGAACAGACACAGACAGGAAAGAAAUUGCGGCGAACUAAAUAGGUUAUGUCAAGCAACUUUUGUUUUCUUCCGGUACCUACUCGUAUGAAUGAAAUGGUUGUACAUAUUUGGUCAAAAGUAACCCGCCAGUGAAGAUCUCUAGGCAAUCGUUUUAAGGCACAAGUUGAGUUUCGAUUCGAUUAGUCAUGAUAACAAUUAUUUAUUCAAAGAAGCCGGCAUCACUGGUUACUUUGUUGCCGUACUGUCGAUUGAAGAUUAUGGGCGAGGAAGGGAAUAAUUUGUUUCACAUAGCAAAUUUGCUUGACUUUCGAGAUGAUAUUAACAAACAGUCUGUUCCGCACAGUGAGUAUUAAUUACGUUAAAAAUUGCGUAACAAUCAAAUGUGUGAACAAUUCGAAUCAAGUUGCCCAUGGUUUUCAAGGCACUCUUGAUCGAGAGGUAAACAAGCUUGGAAACUUGGUUUCAAAAUAAAUCAGUUUCAUGAAGCGUUUCACAACAAGUACUCACUGUGCAUUGUUACACCUGAUAGGGAAAUGAAUCUAAAUCAAAGAAAAGCAAACCUAAUUGGCAGUAUGUGGUGAGUUUCUACACUGCAAAUGUCAAGGCUGGUAUGAACACAAACAUAUUUGGACAAAGUAUGCAUAAAUCAUUUAUAUGACUGUAUAAAGUAAAAAAAAAAAACAAACGGUAGAUAGUAAGUAGAUUCGUAUAUAUUUUAUAUUUAUGAUAAAUAACAAAACGGAAAUAGUCUUUCUCCGGAGAUUGUGUCGAUUUUCGAUUUACCCAAUCGAAACUCGUUUGAGGACUGUGGCCACUCCACUUCAGUCCUCAAGAAACAAGAAUGUUAAGCAAACCCUGCCCUAGGCUUAAAAGCGCACUAUUCAAAAGUAAAACAAAAAAUGCUUCUAAAUUAAACACAAACAAGGUCCCAUUUUCGAAAUCUUCUAAGUGUCUAUAUUCGUAUGUCGUACAAUACAAAUCACGAUAACAAAGCAACUUUUGUGUAAAAAAUAUAGCGAUUUUCUUUCAUACUGCUUACGUUUAUGUUUGCGCAAAACAAAUUAUCACAAGUAAAAGAAAACUGGAAAAAUACUUCUCCAGUACCCUAGAAGUAUUCACAGCUGACGAAUGGAACAGAAAAAAAACUCUUGAACGUCGCUAUUGUGCUGAUCGCGCAGAGCUCCUGCUCGGGGAUUGGUACUUACCACGAAACGCUACCUUAGUUUACCACUUAAUACAAACGACUAUUCAAUUGCAUUUUGAGUUACGAUAAUGGAAAAAGAAAACGUGAAUCUUAGCUAAAACACCGAUGUAGAAGUUUGAUUGUUUUACAUAUUUAAUGAAUGCAGUGUCAGUUAAGAAACAAAAAAAAAAAACAAAAUCAGAAAUUCGAAACAAAAAAAAAACACAAACUAGUUGCCUGUGAACUCUGUUGUUUUGAGUUCGAACUUAUCCGACAUUUUCUAGUGAGUAUAUUUACAAGUACGCAACACACACUCACAGACAAAAGUGGGGAGGGCUGGCAGCACUGUUGUGGCGGACAGAUUAAACGUAGAUUUUUCGGUACCACAAAUACAACAAAACCAUCACUCGUGACGAAGGGGUGAAAGCUUUCCAAGACAGAGACAGCCCCUCGUCGACGGGGAUGGUGAGACAAAGCUAAAACAACCAGUAUGGUAAGAACAACAUGAACAACAACGUGUACAACUUAAGUGACAAAAUGUAUGAAUGUAACUAAUGACGGACAGCAGACGAACAGAAUAUUCGACAUUAUUCAAGCAAAAGUGAGAGAUUGCAAACACAGGAAUAGGAGAACAUAGGAGAGUACAGUAUAAAUAAACAGAAUGGUAUAUUAUUGAUCGAUAAGUAUAUCUCGGCAACAGCAAGAAAAAAAGUAAACAAUUAUUUAGUGAAUAAAGGGAUAAACACACAGAAUCAUUGAUCUUAUAUUAAAAGCAAAACAAAAAUAUUUAAUUAUGUAUUAGUAAUUCUAUUGACAAAAAGUAUAAUAAUGGAAAAGAAUCAACACACACACAAUUAAAAGUGAAAACAUAAGAAUAGUGAUGAUAAAUAUACGAGUAAACAAAAUAUUAAAAA